UUCAAAAUCACAGGUGUUGAAGGCCAGUA
RNAcentral lists this non-coding RNA (29 nucleotides) under Rattus norvegicus (Norway rat). Lineage: Eukaryota; Metazoa; Chordata; Mammalia; Rodentia; Muridae. The record is from RNAcentral.